Molecule: ribosomal RNA, 515 nt
Filed under: uncultured bacterium
Lineage: Bacteria
Description: partial 16S ribosomal RNA
Rfam family: Bacterial small subunit ribosomal RNA
Source: RNAcentral
GACGAACGCUGGCGGCGUACCUAAUACAUGCAAGUCGAGCGGACUUUCAAGAAGCUUGCUUUUUGAAGGUUAGCGGCGGACGGGUGAGUAACACGUGGGCAACCUGCCUGUAAGACGGGGAUAACUCCGGGAAACCGGGGCUAAUACCGGAUAAUAUCUUUCUUCGCAUGAAGGAAGGUUGAAAGGCGGCGCAAGCUGCCGCUUGCAGAUGGGCCCGCGGCGCAUUAGCUAGUUGGUGAGGUAACGGCGCACCAAGGCGACGAGGCGUAGCCGACCUGGAAGGGUGAUGGGCCACACUGGGACUGAGACACGGCCCAGACUCCCACGGGAGGCAGCAGUAGGGAAUCUUCCUCAAUGGACGAAAGUCUGACGGAGCAACGCCGCGUGAGCGAAGAAGGUCUUCGGAUCGUAAAGCUCUGUUGUCAGGGAAGAACAAGUACCGUUCGAAUAGGGCGGUACCUUGACGGUACCUGACCAGAAAGCCACGGCUAACUACGUGCCAGCCGCCGCCGUAA